GUGGGGAAUAUUGGACAAUGGGCGAAAGCCUGAUCCAGCCAUGCCGCGUGUGUGAAGAAGGUCUUCGGAUUGUAAAGCACUUUAAGUUAGGAGGAAGGGUAGUAACCUAAUACCUUGCUGUUUUGACGUUACCGACAGAAUAAGCACCGGCUAACUUCGUGCCAGCAGCCGCGGUAAUACGAAGGGUGCAAGCGUUAAUCGGAAUUACUGGGCGUAAAGCGCGCGUAGGUGGUUUUGUAAGUUGGAGGUGAAAUCCCCGGGCUCAACCUGGGAACUGCCCCCAAAACUGCAUGACUAGAGUACGGUAGAGGGUAGUGGAAUUUCCUGUGUAGCGGUGAAAUGCGUAGAUAUAGGAAGGAACACCAGUGGCGAAGGCGACUACCUGGACUGAUACUGACACUGAGGUGCGAAAGCGUGGGGAGCAAACAGGAUUAGAUACCCGUGUAGUCC
RNAcentral lists this ribosomal RNA (450 nucleotides) under uncultured bacterium. RNAcentral's name for it is "partial 16S ribosomal RNA". It matches the Rfam family "Bacterial small subunit ribosomal RNA", at positions 354 to 796 of the family's 1533-position model. The record is from RNAcentral.